RNAcentral lists this ribosomal RNA (492 nucleotides) under uncultured bacterium. RNAcentral's name for it is "partial 16S ribosomal RNA". It matches the Rfam family "Bacterial small subunit ribosomal RNA", at positions 29 to 507 of the family's 1533-position model. The record is from RNAcentral.
AGUGAACGCUGGCGGUAGGCCUAACACAUGCAAGUCGAACGGCAGCACAGUAAGAGCUUGCUCUUACGGGUGGCGAGUGGCGGACGGGUGAGGAAUACAUCGGAAUCUACUUUUUCGUGGGGGAUAACGUAGGGAAACUUACGCUAAUACCGCAUACGACCUACGGGUGAAAGCAGGGGAUCUUCGGACCUUGCGCGAUUGAAUGAGCCGAUGUCGGAUUAGCUAGUUGGCGGGGUAAAUGCCCACCAAGGCGACGAUCCGUAGCUGGUCUGAGAGGAUGAUCAGCCACACUGGGACUGAGACACGGUCCAGACUCCUACGGGAGGCAGCAGUGGGGAAUAUUGGACAAUGGGCGCAAGCCUGAUCCAGCCAUACCGCGUGGGUGAAGAAGGCCUUCGGGUUGUAAAGCCCUUUUGUUGGGAAAGAAAAGCAGCAGGUUAAUACCCCGCUGUUCUGACGGUACCCAAAGAAUAAGCACCGGCUAACUUCGUG